AACGAACGCUGGCGGCAUGCCUAACACAUGCAAGUCGAACGAGACCUUCGGGUCUAGUUGCGCACGGGUGCGUAACGCGUGGGAACCUUCCCUUAGGUUCGGAAUAACUCCCCGAAAGGGGUGCUAAUACCGGAUAAUUUCUUCGGACCAAAGAUUUAUCGCCUUUGGAUGGGCCCGCGUUGGAUUAGCUAGUUGGUAGGGUAAAAGCCUACCAAGGGGACGAUCCAUAGCUGGUCGGAGAGGAUGAUCAGCCACACUGGGACUGAGACCCGGCCCAGACUCCUACGGGAGGCAGCAGUGGGGAAUAUUGGACAAUGGGCGAAAGCCUGAUCCAGCAAUGCCGCGUGAGUGAUGAAGGCCUUAGGGUUGUAAAGCUCUUUUACCCGGGAUGAUAAUGACAGUACCGGGAGAAUAAGCGCCGGCUAACUCCGUG
This 433-nucleotide ribosomal RNA is filed under the name uncultured bacterium. RNAcentral's name for it is "partial 16S ribosomal RNA". It matches the Rfam family "Bacterial small subunit ribosomal RNA", at positions 29 to 507 of the family's 1533-position model. The record is from RNAcentral.